UUCAUUCGUGUUUCGUCAAUUGGCAUGUAUGUGUGUAUGUUUGACAAUAUUUAAUAAAUGGGGGUUGUGAUUUAUUUUACAAUAUCUCUAUUAUUGAAUAUUGCGUACAUCAUAUUUGUAUCAUUUGAUGAACGCGUGCAUUUUUCUUCUGGUAGGACGUUGCGAUCCGUUAGGUAGAAUUUAUUUCAAUCGAUCUAUGUUUUACAGUAUAGUUCAUUGAUUCAUGUAUAAUUUUUGGAUUAUUUAUGGUAAUAUUAAUGAUACUGUAUAUACUGAUCGAUUUGACUGACRGUAUGAAAAAAWGAUUACAAGUCGCUAUAUUAGCGUUAGAGGCUAAACAAAUGUAAAUAUUGUGUUAAUACUUUAAUUGUUGUUUUUCGGAAUAAUGAUUAGAGUAUAUAUAUUCGGUAAUCGAUAUUAUUUUAUCAAUUCCGAGCCGUUUUUACAUUGUUAGUUUAGCAAAAUUAUAUAUCUCUGACUGACUUUAUUAUUAUAUUAUAUGAAUGUGUAAUAUAAUAAAAUCAAUCUGCAACGCUAUAGCUUUGGGUACUUUUAGGACCCGUCUUGAAACACGGACCAAGGAGUCUAGCAUGUACGCAAGCCAUUGGGAUUAUUAAACCUAUAGGCAUAAUGAAAGUAAAAAUACAUUAUAUGUAUAAUAUAAUAAAGGAAGAUGAUUAAUGAAAUUAUUAUUAUUAUAAUUUUAUUAUUUCGCAUUCCUGGGGCGUUUAAAUUUUGUUUUAUUGUUUAUUCAAUUUAAUGAGAUUAUGCGCACCAAGAG
This 781-nucleotide ribosomal RNA is filed under the name Crossotarsus externedentatus. RNAcentral's name for it is "eukaryotic LSU rRNA". The record is from RNAcentral. Lineage: Eukaryota; Metazoa; Arthropoda; Insecta; Coleoptera; Curculionidae.